CCUUUGUCCGCGCGGCGGUGCGCGCGGGUGGGAGGUGUGCGCGCGGGGACCGCGCUGUCCGCCCGCUGUCAUCCAGCUCGGGCUGCCGCCCGAUGGCACGAGGGGGCGCGCGGGCCCGGUCCCAGGGAGCCACCCCCGGCCGCGGGUGACCCUCCUUCUGCGCCCGCGAGCAUGUCACCUCCAGCCACCGCGGCCCCCUCCGUUUGCAGCGCCCGCGCCUCCCGCCGCGGCCUGGGGCACUGGCCCCCGGACCCCCGCCCCUGAUCCACCCCCAGACCCUGGCGCCAGAGGGCCAUGGCCGGCCAGGGGGACUGCUGCGUCAAGGUGGCCGUCAGGAUCCGGCCGCAGCUGUCAAAGGAGAAGAUUGAGGGCUGUCACAUCUGUACCUCUGUCACCCCGGGGGAGCCCCAGGUACUUCUGGGGAAGGACAAGGCCUUCACCUAUGACUUUGUCUUUGACCUGGACACCUGGCAAGAACAGAUCUACACGACCUGUGUGAGCAAGCUCAUCGAGGGCUGCUUCGAGGGCUACAAUGCCACCGUGCUGGCCUACGGGCAGACGGGGGCUGGGAAGACGUACACCAUGGGCACCGGCUUCGACGCGGCGACGGCCGAGGAGGAGCAGGGCAUCAUCCCAAGGGCCAUCGCCCACCUCUUUGGGGGCAUCGCCGAGCGCAAGCGGCGGGCACAGGAGCAGGGAGUGGCUGAGCCUGAGUUCAAAGUCAGCGCGCAGUUCCUGGAGCUGUACAACGAGGAGAUCCUGGACCUGUUUGACAGCACCCGUGACCCCGACGCCCGCCACCGCAGGUCCAACAUUAAGAUCCACGAGGACGCCAACGGGGGCAUCUACACCACUGGCGUCACCUCUCGCCUCAUCAACUCCCAGGAGGAGCUGACCCAGUGCCUGAGGCAGGGGGCCCUCUCGCGCACCACGGCCAGCACGCAGAUGAACGUGCAGAGCUCCCGGUCUCAUGCCAUCUUCACCAUUCACCUGUGCCAGAUGCGCGUGUGCGCCCAGCCUGAGCUGGUGAAUGAGGCGGUGACUGGGCUUCCUGAGGGUGCAGCGCCUACGCGCGAGUAUGAGACGCUCACAGCCAAGUUUCACUUUGUGGACCUGGCCGGCUCCGAGCGGCUGAAGCGGACGGGAGCCACCGGCGAGCGGGCCAAGGAGGGCAUCUCCAUCAACUGUGGCCUGCUGGCCUUGGGCAACGUGAUCAGCGCCUUGGGGGACCAGAGCAAGAAGGUGGUGCACGUGCCCUACAGGGACUCCAAGCUGACCCGGCUCCUCCAGGAUUCACUAGGGGGCAACAGCCAGACCAUCAUGAUCGCCUGCGUGAGCCCCUCGGACCGGGACUUCAUGGAGACGCUCAACACACUCAAAUAUGCCAACCGGGCACGCAACAUCAAGAACAAGCUGGUAGUGAACCAGGACAAGACGAGCCAGCAGAUCAGCGCGCUGCGGGCCGAGAUCGCGCGCCUGCAGAUGGAGCUGAUGGAGUACAAGGCGGGCAAGCGGGUGACGGGGGAGGAUGGCAGCGAGGGCUACAGUGACCUGUUCCGCGAGAAUGCCAUGCUGCAGAAGGAGAACGGGGCCCUGCGCCUGCGAGUGAAGGCCAUGCAGGAGGCCAUCGAUGCCAUCAACAACCGCGUCACCCAUCUCAUGAGCCAGGAGGCCAACCUGCUGCUGGCCAAAGCUGGUGACGGCAAUGAGGCCAUUGGCACUCUGAUCCACAGCUACAUCCGGGAAAUAGAGGAGCUGCGGACGAAGCUCCUGGAGAGUGAGGCCAUGAACGAGUCCCUGCGUCGCAGCCUCUCCCGGGCCUCAGCGCGGGGCCCCUACUCCCUGGGGGCAUCUCCCGCGGCCUUCGGGGGCAGCCCAGCCACCUCCAUGGAGGACGCCUCCGAGGUGAUCCGCAGGGCCAAGCAGGACCUGGAGAGGCUCAAAAAGAAGGAGGUCAGGCAGCGGAGAAAGAGCCCAGAGAAGGAGGCCUUCAAAAAGAGGGCGAAGCUGCAACAGGAAAACAGCGAGGAGACGGAUGAGAAUGAGGACAACGAGGUGGACGAGGAGGAGGAGGACCGAGACGAGAGUGGCUGUGAGGAGGAGGGGCGUGAGGACGAAGACGAGGACUCGGGCAGUGAGGAGAGCCUGGUGGGCUCGGACUCAGACCCCGAGGAGAAGGCGGUGAACUUCCAGGCGGACCUGGCGGACCUGACGUGUGAGAUUGAGAUCAAGCAGAAGCUGAUCGACGAGCUGGAGAACAGCCAGCGACGGCUGCAGACGCUCAAGCACCAGUACGAGGAGAAGCUGAUUCUGCUGCAGAAUAAGAUCCGCGACACGCAGCUGGAGCGCGACCGGGUGCUGCAGAACCUCAGCACCAUGGAGUGCUACACGGAGGAGAAGGCCAACAAGAUCAAGGCUGACUAUGAGAAGCGGCUGCGGGAGAUGCACCGUGACCUGCAGAAGCUGCAGGCCGCCCAGAAGGAGCACGCGCGGCUGCUCAAGAACCAGUCACGCUACGAGAGGGAGCUGAAGAAGUUGCAGGCCGAGGUGGCUGAGAUGAAGAAGGCCAAGGUUGCCCUGAUGAAGCAGAUGCGUGAGGAGCAGCAGCGGCGACGGCUGGUGGAGACCAAGAGGAACCGGGAGAUCGCGCAGCUGAAGAAGGAACAGCGGCGACAGGAGUUCCAGAUCCGAGCUCUGGAGUCCCAGAAGCGGCAGCAGGAGCUGGUCCUGAGGCGGAAAACCCAGGAGGUUUCUGCACUGAGGCGUCUGGCCAAGCCUAUGUCUGAGCGGGUGGCGGGGCGCGUGGCGCUGAAGCCGUCCAUGCUGGACUCGGGGGCCGAGGUGUCGGCCAGCACCACGUCGUCGGAGGCUGAAUCGGGGGCCCGUUCUGUCUCUAGCAUUGUGCACCAAUGGAACCGCAAGAUCAACCAUUUCUUGGGGGACCACCCCACGUCCACUGUCCAUAGCACCCGCCCUGCCAGAAAGAAGUUCCUGAAGAAGGGGGCCAGCCAGAGCUUCAGCAAGGCCGCGCGGCUCAAGUGGCAGUCCCUGGAGAGGAGGAUCAUUGACAUCGUCAUGCAGAGGAUGACCAUCGUCAACCUGGAGGCCGACAUGGAGAGGCUCAUCAAGAAAAGGGAGGAGCUGUUCGUCCUGCAGGAGGCGCUGCGGCGGAAGCGGGAGCGGCUGCAGGCCGAGAGCCCGGAGGAGGAGAAGGGGCUGCAGGAGCUGGCGGAGGAGAUCGAGGCGCUGGCCGCCAACAUCGACUACAUCAACGACAGCAUCUCCGACUGCCAGGCCACCAUCGUGCAGCUGGAGGAGACCAAGGAGGAGCUGGACUCCACGGACACGUCGGUGGUCAUCAGCUCCUGCUCCCUGGCAGAAGCCCGCCUCCUGCUGGACAACUUCCUCAAGGCGUCCAUCGACAAGGGGCUGCAGGUGGCACAGAAGGAGGCACAGAUCCGGCUGCUGGAGGGGCGGCUGAAGCAGACGGACUUAGCGAGCUCCUCCCAGAACCCCGUGCUGCUGGACGCCCUGCGCGAGAAGGCCGAGGCGCGCCCCGAACUGCAGGCCCUCAUCUGCAACGUGCAGCAGGAGAACGGCUACGCCAGCACAGAUGAGGAGGUGUCGGAGUUCUCUGAGGGGAGCUUCUCCCAGUCGUACGCCAUGAAAGGCUCCACCAGCCACGAUGAUUUCAAGUUCAAGGGCGAACCCAAGCUGUCUGCCCAGAUGAAGGCUGUGUCGGCCGAGUGUCUGGGGCCCCCGCUGGACAUGUCCACCAAGAACAUUACCAAGUCCCUGGCCUCCUUGGUGGAGAUCAAAGAGGACGGGGUGGGCUUCUCCAUCCGAGACCCCUACUACCGGGACAGGGUCUCACGCACCAUCAGCCUGCCCACCAAAGGGAGCACUUUCCCCCGGCAGUCCCGAGGCAGUGACACGCCUCUGACCCGAAGGAAGUCCUACGACCGGGGGCAGCCUGCUAGGUCCACAGACGGAUUCACGCCCCCCUCGUCCCCUCCCACUCGGCCACGCAACGAUCGGAACGUGUUCUCCCGUCUCACCAGCAAUCAGAACCAAGGGUCAGCACUGGACAAGUCUGAUGACAGCGACUCCUCUUUGUCCGAGGUCCUGAGGGGCAUCAUCACGCCUGUUGGAGGAGCUAAGAGUGUGCGGACGGCCCCGCUGCAGUGCGUCUCCAUGGCCGAGGGCCACACCAAGCCCAUCCUCUGCCUGGACGCCACGGACGAGCUGCUGUUCACAGGGUCCAAAGACCGAAGUUGUAAGAUGUGGAACUUGGUCACCGGGCAGGAGAUCGCGGCUCUGAAGGGCCACCCCAACAACGUGGUCUCCAUCAAGUACUGCAGCCACUCGGGGCUCGUGUUCUCCGUGUCCGCCUCCUACAUCAAGGUCUGGGACAUCCGUGACUCGGCCAAGUGCAUUCGGACCCUCACGUCCUCAGGCCAGGUGAUCUCAGGUGACGCCUGUGCGGCCACAUCCACCCGCGCCAUCACCAGUGCUCAGGGGGAACACCAAAUCAACCAGAUCGCACUCAGCCCCUCGGGCAACAUGCUGUAUGCCGCCUCGGGCAACGCUGUUCGCAUCUGGGAGCUCAGCAGGUUCCAGCCCAUUGGCAAGCUGACCGGCCACAUCGGCCCUGUGAUGUGCCUGACGGUCACCCAGACCGCCAGCCAGCACGACCUGGUGGUGACCGGCUCCAAGGACCACUACGUCAAGAUGUUUGAGCUGGGUGAGUGCGUGGCGGGCACCAUCAGCCCCACCCACAACUUCGAGCCCCCGCACUAUGACGGUAUCGAGUGUCUGGCCAUCCACGGAGACGUCCUGUUCAGCGGCUCCCGCGAUAACGGCAUCAAGAAAUGGGACCUGGAGCAACAGGAGCUCAUCCAGCAAAUCCCCAAUGCACACAAGGACUGGGUGUGCGCCCUGGCCUUUGUCCCCGGCCGCCCCAUGCUGCUGAGUGCCUGUCGGGCUGGCGUCAUCAAGGUCUGGAACGUGGAGAACUUCACGCCCAUCGGGGAGAUCAGGGGCCAUGACAGCCCCAUCAACGCCAUCUGCACCAACGCCAAGCACAUCUUCACCGCCUCCAGUGACUGCCGGGUCAAGCUGUGGAAUUACGUUCCUGGACUCACUCCUUGCCUUCCUCGCAGAGUCCUGGCCAUAAAGGGCCGUGCCACCACCCUGCCCUGACCCCGCCUUCUCUCUGAGUCCCCUGUCCUCUCCCUCCUUCUCGCUCUCCUUCCUUCUCCCUCUCUCCCUCUCUGUCUGUCUCUUCACUUCGAUCUGAGCUGCUUCUUCACGUGACCUGACGGUGAAGCUCUGGCGUGCUCGGCGGUCAACCCGCAGCCCACCCUAGGAGUGAGGUCAGGAUGGCCCAGACCCUCGGCCCCCGGCGCCUGGGACAGCACGGAAGGGCCGAUGGAGCCAGCUGCCCUGGGGACAGAGGGCGUGGGUGAUGGGUGUGGCCCCUCUCCUGCUGUCCCUCCACUUUCUUCACUUUCUGCCAGGACACUGUCCCCCAGUCCCUCCCCUGCCUCUUGGGGAGAAAGAGGUAGGGGAGGAAUUUAAGCUGUGACACUGAAGGGCCUUCCCCGGUCCUUCCUCUCCUGGGCCACAUCUGUCCUGCUGAGCUGGCCGUGGCCUUCCUGGAGCCCGUGACCCAGGCUGGGACCUGUAGGGGAGGUGAGGCAGCCCAGCCCCCACACCCCUGGCCCAGCCUCCGACCACUGCACCUGCUUCUGAGCCCAAAAAGGUAACCUCAGGUAACCAUGGAAACCAGGUGUAGGCAGCUGGGCCCUGCAGCUAGCUGACGUUUAGCCCCUUGGCCACCAACAGCCGUUCCAGUUGCCCCAGCAAUUCCUGGGGUCCCUCUCUGAUGGGGCCAAGGUGCAGCUGCUAGAAAGACUCCUUUGGGUAGAUGGUCAGACACACUUCAGUUAUUUAUUGUUAUUUUUUGCUGUUGCCUCCUGGAAACUGACUUGAAGUUUCUUCCACAUGCUCGGUCCCUCAGCUCUUGGGGACCAGGACUCACAGGAAACCCACCCUACCUGCCCUCAGGCCCACCCCUCUGCUUGUUUGGCAGAGGAGGGAAUGCCCCCAGGACCCCACAUCACCCCAGGGGCCAUCCUAGUGCACCCCGACCUCUCGGCCGCCCGGCGCCUCAGUGCCUUCCUCCAUCCGUCCCGGGGCCUGGCACCACCUGUGUCUUCUCACUCGGGUCUCUUACCUGCUGCCCCCAGAAGGCAGGGCGCUCCACCCCCAGCCUACGGCCGGGGUCCCCUCCCCAGACCCCCGUGUGGGCCGUGUGGGAAGCAGCUCAGAGGACUGUCCACUAGGAGGCGGCUUGGUGAGGUUGCCGGGCCCUCACCCCUACAGGGCAGGGCGUCCCCUGCAGCAAUUUCUCUGUCACCCAGGAGACCCAUUCAAGCCUUAACACAGUGUGGGCAGAUGGGCAGGCAGGGCCCCGCUUUCAGAAGAGAGGAAAAGAGGGAACUCACUGAGCUUCUGCCUCGGGCUGUGGACGCAGCCCGUGGGAUGCUGUCCGGAGCCCCUCCUGGGACAGCUGUGAAGUCACAGGACCCGGCCUCAGGGGUCCUGCUCCGACCCCCCACCGAGCCUGUCCACUGCUGGUCCGACACUUACCUGGUCCUGAGCUCCUGGCCUCGGUGCGGGGCCAGGAGCCCAGCUCUGUUCGGAGGACGCGGGGACUUGGGACCUUCCGCCCGUGGCUGUGUGUGUGUCUGGGCGCCUCCCCCGUUUGGCCGGGAUGCAGGAGCCGCUCUGUGUGGGACUCGCCUGGAGCACAGGGCAGAGGACGCCGUCUUAGCUGUGAAACGGGAAAGCACCUGCUGCGGCCUGAGCCUGGCCUGUCCCUACCUGUCCCCCUCCUGCUCAGGCUGACCCCAGGCUGAGCAGGCGGUCUUGCUGCGAGUGGCCCCGCGGGAUAUGACAGUGAAGUCUGGGUGCACAGAUGUACAGGAAGGACUCACCCUUGAGCGCCCCUGGGACAGCCGUCUUCCAGACUGGAAACCCCUCUUCCUCCGACCAUCCAGGGGCGCCGCCGGACAGCUCCCUCAAGUCCCGCCCCCCCCCUGCUCCCCACCUGAACAGAAAGCUCCACCCUGCAAGCAAGCGUUGUCUGCAUGACUGCUUACACUGUAGAAACACCACAGACUGCUCACCCGUGAGCCACUGGACUGUAGCUGCCUGGCCUGUGUCGCAACAGGAUGUGACCUCACGGCCUGCGAGGGGUGCUUGGCGUCGUUGCCCGUUUCCUGCUGUUUCUGAUGGGUCAGCUACCUCACGGCCGGCCGGCUCUGCUGUCCUGGCGAGUAUCAUUGACUCUAAACUUGAAGUCCCUUGGGAGCCCUGAGUGUUGGCCUCUCUGCCCACUCCUUUAGGGAUGUCCAAGGUACAUAAUUGGGGGCUGGCCCCCAGCACCCCUUGUCGCACAAGCAUCCUAAAUGUGGGAAGCACAAAAUGAUUGUCACUUGAGCACAACGGCAGGGCUCGUGGCAGGUGGCCUGGGCACCUGGGACUCUGUCCAAGGUCCAGCUGAGGAAGCCCCGUCUUGGGGGCUUGCCUGUGUUCGUUCUCACACCUCCUUUUCUGCGCCCGUCUGAAGAGCUGAGGCUGGGCCACUGCAGGCCAGGCCAUGUGGGGGUGCCAUGGGCCCAGGAGUAGUACCCUCUCAACCCCACACCCCAGGUCUUUCAAUGCCUGAGCCCAGGCUGGCUCCCCAAUGAGCCUGACCCUUGUGAAUGCUUUUGAAGCUGCUUGGCCGGUGAGUGUGUCUCCACCCCAUUGCCCAGGGCCUUCUCUGCACUGUCCUGUGUGGGGCCCUGUUCUCAGCAUUCAGUGUUUGCUUUUGUUUGUGGGACUGACCCCUCCUGGUCAGCCAGAAUCCCCAAGGCCGCGUUGGAGUUGCCUUUGGAGGUUGCCCAGGAGGGAGAAAGGGUGCCCCCACCCAAAAGCCUUGGAGGUGGUCAGGGUACUGCCCUCAGCCCGUCAGGGACCUGGGGACCUGGGCAUGGCCUCCCUGCCUGUCACCCUCAAUGCAGCUGCAAUCCAGGAAACCUUCCUCCCUUGGGCCCUGCCGCCCACCUGGGCCCGUGAGGCUUGGGCAGAGGGCAGUUGAAAGCACAAAACUGCUGCAGGGAAGACGUGGCUGGGACUUUCUCAUGCCAGCCAGGGUGUUGGGGACUCAGGCAGCGACUGCAGGAAGUCAGAGGUGCUGGGUCUUCCAUUAGAGACCGUUCGGGCCUCUUGGGGGUGUGGUCUGGGGCUCACCGUCGUGCUCUGUGUGUGGCUGGGCCUGUCCUGCCACAGUGCUGGCGCCUUCCCUCCGGGUGGCCCAAAUCUGUGGUGCCUACCCCUUUGUCACACGGGUCCCGGCUUGGCACUCAGGAGCCAGGGCCUGGCCAGUGCCCCCCACGGGCGUGCUGUCCUGACUCCCAGAUCCUUCUCUGCCCCCCAGGUGUGAGGAAAGUCCUGUUUCUUCUAUGGCAUUGGUUCUCUCCCACCCGCCCUCCCCAGCACUCAGAUGACACCCCAGUCCAGUCCUGGGAACCCAUGUCCCGAGGGCCCCGCAUGGAGGUGGGAAGUGCUUCACGGAGAGCCGAGAGUGCGAGAAGGCCCCUCAAGGGAGCUGGGGCCCGGCACUGCCCACCAGCUCGCCCCGGCCCAGGCCCCAGCCUCUCACCGGCUCUCGCGCUCCCCGCCGUGUGGCCAGCACAAGGUGUACAUAGGUUUUGUACCUCUGCCCGUGUCUGUACAUAGUGUAUGAAAGUUAUUUAAGCCUCAUGCUGUACAUUUCUGUUCCUAGGCUGGAUGUGUGUGUUCUGAGAAGUUGUCAUAAAUAAAAUGAAUGAUCAUUGUC
Hipposideros armiger (great roundleaf bat) is the source of this 8890-nucleotide RNA transcript. It is a transcript of the gene named kinesin family member 21B, with no coding region annotated. NCBI's taxonomy places the organism in Eukaryota, Metazoa, Chordata, Mammalia, Chiroptera, Hipposideridae. The transcript has 36 exons. The record is from RefSeq and is a predicted model, not a curated record.